CCAAUAGCGUAUAUUAAAGUUGUUGCAGUUAAAAAGCUCGUAGUUGAAUUUCGAGAUCAAUUUGUUGGUCGUGCCUCGGUACGUACUGGCAAUUUUGGUUUCUCCCUUCUGAAGAACCAUGAUGUCAUUAAUUUGGUGUCAUGGGGAAUCAGGACUGUUACUUUGAAAAAAUUAGAGUGUUUAAAGCAGGCUCGCGCUUGAAUACAUUAGCAUGGAAUAA
Molecule: ribosomal RNA, 220 nt
Filed under: uncultured Glomus
Lineage: Eukaryota; Fungi; Glomeromycota; Glomeromycetes; Glomerales; Glomeraceae
Description: partial small subunit ribosomal RNA
Rfam family: Eukaryotic small subunit ribosomal RNA
Source: RNAcentral